Long non-coding RNA from Solanum dulcamara, 183 nucleotides. RefSeq lists it as uncharacterized. NCBI's taxonomy places the organism in Eukaryota, Viridiplantae, Streptophyta, Magnoliopsida, Solanales, Solanaceae. The record is from RefSeq and is a predicted model, not a curated record. The transcript is spliced from 3 exons.
CCAAAGUUUUAGCCGCGCUAGGAGAGCUUCCGAGGCAAGUUUUGGAGAGUUUCGGUAAAGACUAACAAGUUGGAAGAAUAAGAAAAGCUAGUAAGGCGCGGUACAGGUACACCUAGACAAGUAGAAGCUACUAUAGAAGAUGUUCCAGCGGGGUUAGCAACUCCACUUGUUCCUGGAGUACUG